AACCACUGAGCUAAAUCCCCGGCAUAAGUGUGUUGCUCUUUGUUCUUUUUGUAGUGCUGGGGAUCUAAACCAAGGCCUUCCAUGCCGACCCUUACUGAAUUUUUUUUUGAGAUGCUAAUUUGCUAAGUUGUCCAGGUUGGGCUCAAACGCUCCAUCCUCCUGCCUCAGCUUCCCAUAGCGGUGGGAUUACAGGUGUGUGUUGCCUUUCUGAAUCCUCUCAAAGGCCCUGUGAGUCACACACUAGGGUUAUUUACAUUUAAUGGGAGAGGAAAAUGGAUUUGGGAGGUUAAACUGCUUGUCCUACGUGCUUGGUUCCAAGCCGAGCAGUUGGGUUGCAGCCUCCCUGCUUCUGCUGCUCUUGCUGGUGGAGCAACCACAGUGGGGUCCUAGUUCCCAGUCCCCUGGCUCCAGAAGCCCAGUCUCUGUCCCGGGGCUCCUGGUGCAUAGCAGGUGUGCGGCAAUGUUCUGGAUUCUUCGUUCAGCUACUCUCUGUGAAUCAACUGCAGGCUGUUUCCAGAAGAGAAGGGUCAGGGAUUUCUUGUCACCAGUGGAGGCAGCUGAUAGAAAAGGAAUCCUGUAGAAACCAUCUUUCUGUUUGUGAAAAAGGAAGAGAGAAACAGGGAGCCCAAGAAGCGGGGUGCACCGUAUCCUCAUUUGUAUGAGGCGGGGAUGAGUAACUCUCAUUGAAGAUGUAGCGACACCUCUAGGUGCCAGACUCCAUAGCGACGUGGACAGGGCCACAGCGUCUGAACUCAAGGACUCCAGGUAGGGGAGCCUGGGAGGCGAAACACAGCAAGGAGAAAGUGUGUCACGUUCUCAGUCCAAGUCAUCUGAGAGGAUGCUCACACGUGUGUGCGAGCCAGUGUGGAUUUCUGUGAGCGUGUGCUUGCUCUCUGAGUCUGUGUGCUUAGUCAGUGUUCGUAUCCAGACAAUUUUUCUAAAGGAGCAGAUUGUAUGAGUCAUCUCUUGCCGCGUAACAAGUGACCCAAACAGAGUGGCUUAAAUCCACACGAAUUGUCAUUUCAAGGUUCCUGGGAAUGACGGCUUGGCUGAGCGCUGCUAUUACACAGGCUGCCAGCAGGCUGGGCCCUCGCAGGGAGUCUCUGCCAGGGGGGAUCCAUUUCCAAGCUCACCCAUGUGGCUGUUGGCAGAAUUCUGUUCCUUGCAGGCCACCAGUGUGAGGCUGCCCUCCUCCGGGUCUCACAGGCCUCUCCGUGGGACAGCUCACACCCUGGCAGCUGCCCUCCACCCGACCAAGUGUGCUGGAGCCAGACAGUGAGCAGGAUGGGCAAAGUCUGGUGGCCUGGUUUCCAAUGGGCAGCUCAUGGCCUCUGCUGUCCUUGAUUUGUUACCAGCUCACAUUCUGGAGGAGGGGUUUCCAGGAGGGUGUGAGUCUCAGGGCGGGGGAUCUUCCAGGGACGCCUAGAGACUGCCCACUACGCUGAGACAUUGGGCCAAUAUUUACAGGUGACCAGGAGAUAAUCAGGUGAAGAGAGGAGCAGGCAGAGAGGCCAAGAGAAGCUGGCAAGCACAGCACAGCCAGGGAAGAAAGCAUGCUGUGUGAGAAGGACCGGGUGCCCCGUGGUUGCUGUGUGUGUGUGUGUGUGUGUGUGUGUGUGCGCAAAAACACACAUUUGGUUACAGGAGACCAGAGAAGAGAGACAAACAUGAGCCUGCAUUUGCCCGGAAGGGGAGAACAGAUGGCCCUGGGUGAGAGCAGAAACGUCUAGAAGCGACACAGUUGCCCCAGCACACCGUGGCUGGCAAUGGGGCGGAGGCAGGGAAACGCUGUGGAGAUGCCAGGAACCCUUGCAGGCGCUUCGGACGCGCUGGGCCCUGGCCGAGAAGCGCACAUCUCCGCACCAUUCGCUCCCGCCGCCCUGCAGCUCUUGGUCACAGCGGUCUCUCCGGUCAGUGCGAGCUGUGGCCCUGGCCCCAUCGAGGGAGGCAGCGGGAAGCUGCUGAAGGGUCCUGGCAGUGACACGGGGGUCAGGGAACCCACAUCUUCCUGCUCCGAAUGUCUACGUCCCAGCCAGUGAGGCCCAGACGGGGCCAGGACAGCUGGAUCGUGCGGCCGAGACCUGGGAAUGCUCGGAGGAGUUGGAGUAAAGUCAGAGGCAGAAACCCCCAGCCCUCAGCCUCCCUCCACUGCAGUUUGUGAGGAGGCCGAGGGGCUGUGUGGCGGGGUCAGGGCCCCCGCACCGUCUUCCGGGGAGGGCAGCAGACUGAGCUCAGGCAGCCACUGAUCAGGUCUGCCACCGCCUGUGGCCCCAAACGAGGGCCCCUUGGGAGGGCAGUGCUGCUCCUCCCUCAUGACCAGCGUGGAGGAAAACGCUCUGCACUCAGCCCCACGCUGGCAGGUAAAGGAACUCUCUUGCCAGCCAGAAGCCUGAAAACGGUAACUGAAAUAUAUUCUUCCUUCAGGCUCCUUCUCUUCGUAUGGGAAAAGCUGAAGCUGUGUGAUCAGCAAUGCUCUGCUGGUUUGUGCCGUAUCACAAGCCUGGACUUCCCCGGAACACCGGACACGGGCCUCCCAAAAUCAGGACGCGAGCUGGGUGUGGCGGCACGCACCUGCAAUCCCAGCACAGAGAGAGCGUUGACAGCUGCUGUCCCAGCCGAGGCGGGGAGGGAGGCAGUAACGCCGUAACGCCAAAGUGGGCCGUGGCCCAAGGUGGUUCCGUGUCAGCCGGGUACCGCGGGGCUCUGGGUGGGAGCUGCACGUGGGCCUUGCGCGGAGCUGGUCUCACUUUGAGGACCAGACGGGCACCUCCAGGUGAACUACUCACUGCCGCUGGACAGGAAGUGGGGCUCCCUUUAGGAAAAAGGCGAUUUGCUAGAGGAGCGGGCAGGAAGGAGCCGUGAGAAGCCAAGUCUCACACAGCCACGGUAGGCAGGUGUGGGCACACCCGGUACGGGGUGCUGGCAGGCUCCCACGCCUGUGCUUCAGUCUGAAAAGGUGAAGCCACGGUGCCCUUGCUGCUAUUUCUAAGCAGCCUUCUGUGGCCUCACAGCCUGUGGUGGGGGCAGGGGCUGGCCUAUGACUCCUUUUCACAUCCACGUCCCGGGCACAGCCAGGCAGCAGAAACGAGAAGGUUCCCGAUCUUUUGCACAGUGCUUCCUAUCUUUGGGCGCAAAUAAAAGCAGCCGGAGCUUUGCCCAUACAGAGGCCAGAGGGAUGAAAGCCCUGGGCGUGGCGAAGUGAGAGAAAUUGCUGUGAAAAGCGCUUUGCCAUAAAGCAGGGGAAAGGAUGUUACCGGACUGUCCCCGGGGAAGCGCGGGGCCUUGGCGACUCAGCAGAAGACUUUGCUUGCUCAUGCCUGGCAGUGAGAGAAGCCUUUUUUACCUUCAUAGAUGAUCAAGUUUCAUGUUCAAUUCAUCGCUUUCCUCAACGUUUAUUUUGAAGCAUUUCAAAUCUCUUGAAAAGGCUCUGAUGGAGGAUGCAGACUCUCAGUCCCUUGGGAUCUUUACUAAGGAUAUGAACAUUUAUAAAAGCAUAUGACACUGCACACUCAGGUGCAUGGGGCCUUGUUGCAGGACUGGAAGAGCACUUGAGCUUUUGUCUUUUCAGCCCAGAGCUUUCCUGUUGGGAUCAGGGAAGAGCGACAGAAACAUUUAAUGUUGGCAUUGGACGCAGGCUUCUCAGGAGCGAACCUCUGGGUCUCUGUGGCCCUUGCAAAGUGCAGAGAGCGCCCAAGAAUCCAAGGCUCCAGAGUGGGCUCGGCACUGAGGGACUCCGAGCAGCCUGGAUGUGCACACGUGAUCUGCGGUGGCUGAGGGUGGCCCCGUAACCCGGAGAAUCACGGUGCCCUGCUACUCUGGACCUGGUCGCAGAGCUAGGGUGCAGCUUUCGUGUAUGCAUGCGCAGUGACAGCAGCCGCCUGGCGCUUUAGGUGCGGGUUUUGCUGCCUGUCAGGGACGGGGCUGGGGUUCAGCGUUUGCAGCCAGUGCCCAGAGAAUCCCCAUGACCUCAACUGUGUUUGAGUAGGGAGGCUGUAGUCCACUUCAUUUUGCCACAGCCUAAAGAUCCUAGUUUGGGGGCGGGGGAUUUGGCUCAGUGGUUCGGCUGCCUGCCUUGCAAGUGCGAGGGCCUGUGUUCGAUCCCCAGCACCUCCAAAAAAAAAAAGAUCCUACUUUGGAUUCUGCCAGCCCGCAGCAGGGCUUCUUCUGGGCAUUUUGGGACUUUAGGUCACACCAGGAAAAGAAAUCCCGCAAGAAGAGCAAGGCCCAGACACCUUCUUCACAAUGGCUCCGGGCCACAGGAGGUCCUGUGUCUGGCACAGGCCAUCUGGGAUAGGGGCGGGGCAGCCAGGAGCGAUUCAGGCCAAAGCUUAUCUUUCAAAGUAGGAAUGGAAACGAAGCCCUUUGUUCCUUCACAUUCUCCUUACUGUCUUUCUCACCUGGGGGGACCAUACUCCCCAAGGGGGCUGGCAUGUUCAGUCACGUCUUUGUCCGCUUCACUGUGGACAGAGUUUUUCAUUCUCCAUGCAGAGUGAUCUACCUGAGUAUUCUGGUAAGAAGGAGCCACACUGAAGCGCUUCAUCAGAGUCUCCCUGAGAUGGACCUUCUGAGAGGAGAAAUGAACACGUGCCUCUGAGCUCUGUGGACACCUGCGAAGCAGGCAGUUUGUAUCAGGUAGCUACUGCUGCAUGACGAGCAGCCCCAGACUUCGCUGUUUCAAAUUGUCCUUUAAGCCAUUUAUUGUCUCCAUGUAUUUCAUAACAUUGUGUUGCAAACCUUAAAUUUGUACAAUUAAAUUUAUUUUUAA
Long non-coding RNA from Fukomys damarensis (Damara mole-rat), 4765 nucleotides. RefSeq lists it as uncharacterized. The record is from RefSeq and is a predicted model, not a curated record. The transcript is spliced from 4 exons. Lineage: Eukaryota; Metazoa; Chordata; Mammalia; Rodentia; Bathyergidae.